Molecule: long non-coding RNA, 1733 nt
Filed under: Helianthus annuus (common sunflower)
Lineage: Eukaryota; Viridiplantae; Streptophyta; Magnoliopsida; Asterales; Asteraceae
Description: hypothetical non coding rna
Source: RNAcentral
UUUUCAUUCAAACUCUUCUCCUUCCUUUGCUUUGAAUCUCCUCCAACAACCUUUACGACCUACUCGACGCUCGUUCACCCUCCCAACCUUUCAUCGAUCACCACAGCAAUCAUCCACUACCCACUACCGAUAAUCACAUCUUUCAUCACCGCCGAUUACCACUAUCCACCUCUUUUACCACAACCGUCGGCGAACACCCUCCAUCUCCGACACUAAUUAUCCGCUCGCUUGUACGCAAGUAAUUCAGUCGACUCGGGAAUCAGGUAUGAAUGCUUACUAUUUCUCUAUGCUUGUGAGAUUUAUUUUGCAGAUUUCGAUCGCUUUUGUCCAUACUCAAUCUCCAUUUGGACGAAAGUGUUUCGAAUAAUCAAAAGACAAGCGUCCCAUGUUGAAGCAGCCGCGAAUGAAAUGCUAUACGGUUGCUGUGGAACAAGGCUCAUAGGAAUUCAACCGUGUCAAAUCAGGGGAGUCUGUUCCAUUUAUCUUUGUAUAUUUAUUUAUAUUGGUAGUUGUGUCGUAGAUAGUUUCUCGCUCCAUUGAGGACAAUGAAGGAAUUAAGUGUGGGGAGGGGAGACUAGCGUUUGUCUAGUUGUGUCUUAGUGUCUUGUCGUGUCGUAAAUAUAAAAAAUUUAAAAAAAAUGAAAAAAAUCAAAAAUCCAAAAAAAAAUUAAAAAAAAUAGAAAAUGUCUCGAGAAAAUUUUUGCAAUAAAUGGAAAAUGAUAGCUACAAUUGGAUCGUUGGCAUUUGAUUACUAUAUAUAUGAGAUAAUAAAUGGUCGAGCAUGCGUCUAACUUAGGAUAUGUGGGUAGACCCAGCCGGUUGAAAGGUUCCUUAGGCUUGAUAUAAAAUAACUUAAAUUGGGAGUCUUGUGGGUUCCCGCCUUAAGAGCUAUGGUAAAACUGAAACUGUGGAGAGUAUAAGGGGUAUGUCAUAAGUAAAAAACUUAUAAGUUUUUCCGAUUAAAUUGGCACACCUGUUUCUUUUUGUGAAAACAAAUCCGAAACAGUGUGGCGCCCAAAAAAUUAUUCCAUCCAUUUAUCUGAGCACAUGCAAAAAAAAAAAAAAAAACGUGAAGUUUAUGGCAUUAACCAUGGGGAUGGUGACUCGUGUGGCGUAUGUCCGCUGAACUGAUCGUAUACAAAAGCAUGUAAAGCUCACAAAUCCAUCUAUCCAUCAUAAAGUUUAAUCGGAAUAAUAUAAAAGUUUUUUAUAUAAGACGGUAGAUUAUAAAUCUUUUAAUCUCAUAAGCUUGAAGCAGGAUUAGGUGGUGUUGUAGUCUUUUGAGUGUGGGAUCCAUAGAUAAAUAUAAAUUACUUGAACUUAAAUGAAUCAUGAAUAAGGGCUUGUAAGCUGGUGGUUGGGUUUAAGUGGAUCAUAUACCUGCAAUCUUGGUUAAUGUAUGGUUUGAUUUGUUAAUAAAAUAAUUGAAUAUAUUGAAUGCCAAUCUUCUUAUUGUGAUUCCAUUGCAGAUAAUUUUUUCGGGACGAAAAAAGAUAAGUGUGGGGAAUUGAUCGGUACAAUUUUUGUACACUUUAUUUAGUAAUAAUCAUAAUAAAAAUGCAUCGAUACGAGUUCUAAGUAUAUUAGUUUGAAGUGUUUUUAUAUCUUUGUGGUUUAGAGAAAAUGAGUUUAAAUCAAAUAAUUAUAAUAAAAUAAGAUAUAAAAAUAAAUUUGGAAAAUCAUGUUUGCAUUUAAUAAUGAGGAAAAUUGUUUUGUUUCUCAAAUUUUGGAGC